RNAcentral lists this ribosomal RNA (671 nucleotides) under Fructobacillus fructosus. RNAcentral describes it as "bacterial SSU rRNA". It matches the Rfam family "Bacterial small subunit ribosomal RNA", at positions 99 to 758 of the family's 1533-position model. The record is from RNAcentral. Lineage: Bacteria; Bacillati; Bacillota; Bacilli; Lactobacillales; Lactobacillaceae.
CGAACGGGUGAGUAACACGUGAAUAACCUACCGAAAAGCAGGGGAUAACCAUUGGAAACAGUGACUAAUACCGGAUAAAACCCAAGUGCACAUGCACUAAGGUUAAAAGCUGCGUUUGCAGCGCUUUAAGAUGGAUUCGCGGUGCAUUAGUUAGUUGGUGAGGUAAAGGCUCACCAAGACGAUGAUGCAUAGCCGAGUUGAGAGACUGACCGGCCACAUUGGGACUGAGACACGGCCCAAACUCCUACGGGAGGCUGCAGUAGGGAAUCUUCCACAAUGGGCGCAAGCCUGAUGGAGCAACGCCGCGUGUGUGAUGAAGGCUUUCGGGUCGUAAAGCACUGUUGUAUGGGAAGAACGGGUUUAAGAGGAAAUGCUUAAACAGUGACGGUACCAUACCAGAAAGGGACGGCUAAAUACGUGCCAGCAGCCGCGGUAAUACGUAUGUCCCGAGCGUUAUCCGGAUUUAUUGGGCGUAAAGCGAGCGCAGACGGUUGCUUAAGUCUGAAGUGAAAGCCCACAGCUCAACUGUGGAAUGGCUUUGGAAACUGGGCAACUUGAGUGCAGUAGAGGUAAGUGGAACUCCAUGUGUAGCGGUGGAAUGCGUAGAUAUAUGGAAGAACACCAGUGGCGAAGGCGGCUUACUGGACUGCAACUGACGUUGAGGCUCGAAA